This 24-nucleotide non-coding RNA is filed under the name Rattus norvegicus (Norway rat). Lineage: Eukaryota; Metazoa; Chordata; Mammalia; Rodentia; Muridae. The record is from RNAcentral.
UGAUGACAGUUUUUGCAGCCUCCC